UGAAGCUGAAAUGAAAUGCCUUUUAUAAAUUGUGCUGCCAUAAAUACCCAUGCAAUACUUCUUUCUUGCCUUCAAGCAGCCGCGCAUCAGAUGCCUCAAGUCCAUCUGCUUCAGACAGCAGAAGCAACUAUGAAGAAACAUAUGAAGAUGUUGAGACUGGGAGUGAUAAUCCAGCAAAAGAGGAAGCAGAAAAACAAAAGAGAUUUGGAAAGCUGUUUAAGAUAG
RNAcentral lists this long non-coding RNA (225 nucleotides) under Chrysolophus pictus (golden pheasant). Its description in RNAcentral is "lncRNA (ENSCPIG00010013101.1)". The record is from RNAcentral. Lineage: Eukaryota; Metazoa; Chordata; Aves; Galliformes; Phasianidae.